Long non-coding RNA from Fukomys damarensis (Damara mole-rat), 3290 nucleotides. RefSeq lists it as uncharacterized. The transcript has 3 exons. The record is from RefSeq and is a predicted model, not a curated record. NCBI's taxonomy places the organism in Eukaryota, Metazoa, Chordata, Mammalia, Rodentia, Bathyergidae.
CAGCCGCCGCAUUCCAGGCUGGGGCAGAGGAUGAGGUCAUCCUGUCCGGUUCCCCUCCAGCCCCCUCCCGCGGCAGCCCGGCGACCCUCCACGGCCCCCCCUCCGCGCGUCCCCAGGGGAUGUUUUAUGGCUAAGUCCUUCCUGGACAUCCCUAGCGGGGCGUUCCAGAUUGCUGUCCCUGCUCGGACAGUGCAAGAAUACGAAGUCUGAAACCCAUUUCUAGAUCGGGAAACUGAGGCUCCGGGAGGCACAGAGGCUGACAGGGAGACCACAAGGAUACGACACGUGGCUCUGGGACCGGAUCCCGUUCCGAAUGGAGGGCUGGCCGGGCCCUAAUUUGGGGUGGUGGAGCAAAAGACGCCUUCCUUCCCUGUUGCUCCCCAACGUGCUCCUCCUCCUAAGUCUCUCGGAAUCAAGAGCCUGGCCCAGCAGCCUGACCGCGGUAGCUGGAAGCUUGCUGGCCUUUUCUGGCCUCAGAUUCCGUUUUCCACCUUGAAGGGGCUGGACUUCGUGAGGAAGGGGAAGCCAGUCCCCGGCAGUCAGCCCUAAUGCCAGAGCAGGCUUGGGGAAGCCCCUGACCCAGUCGUCAAGGUGGUGCCCUGCCGGACGCCCUCAGGAGUGGCUCUGUGAACUGGAGCAAUGGCGUCCAGGAUGAGACUGACGCUGUCUCGAGAGGUCGGUGCGGUCCUCGGGUGACCCCAGCGUACAGCUGCCCCCAGCCUGGCCUUCCUCCACCUCCGGAGCAGCCCCUGGCCUGGGCACCUAAACUGUUCCCACAGCAACGCCUGUUGGUCCCUCCCAGUGCACCUCCCCGCCCUCAGCCCCACACCUCAUCCUUGUGGUCAGGUCCGGGUGGUUAUUGCCCCCCUGGGAGCUCUGACCUUACGUCUGGACCCUGACAUCCUUUACAGGGUGAACAGACAGACUCUCGGGACACCGAGGCAGCAUGGUGACCACUUUACCAGGUGGGACACAGCUGAUGGCCCACAAUCAAGUGCCAAAUGACUGUCAUCAAGGGUCCUCACAACGAUAGGCGUUGGCUUAGAGGCACUGGGUUUGAACUCUGGGUGCCCCGUUCCUGGAUCAAAGCACUGAGUUACCCACAUCUUCCACCCUCACUCUGUCCCCUGGGAAGGACCUGCCUGCGAUGCUGAUCCCAUUUGCCACCCAGGAGACGUGGCAAGGUCUCUACUGAGACUACUUAGUCCCUGGAGAUUGGGAAGCCUGGUCCCUGCCGCAUACCUGCUGCACGACCUUGGACAAGUCUCCUCCCUCUGAACCCCAGCCCUCCCUGUGCAGCGCGCCAGCCCCCCAGCCUUGAGGGCUUGUUGUAGGAUCCGAUGACGUCAUGCUAUGGUUGGCCAACUGCGGACGGCUUCAUAACUUCAGCAAACAUUCCACGAGGACGUCUCCGUGCGGUGCCAGGGAAAGGGGAUGAUUCAGAAGUCACCCCCAGGGGGAGGAGCUAUGGCUGGGGGAGGGUCAGAGGGUGGGAAGGGAAGAGAAUGUGGUCAGGAAACAAAGCAAGCUUUGUCCUAUGCGGUCUUUGUUUUUUAUCUUGUUAUUUAACCUAUUUUGAAUUUUAAAUAACAUUAGGACAGGACUGAGAUUUUUUUAUGCUUGGAGGUGGUAGCAGUGGUUUAGGGGGAAGAAUAGUUGAGACUUAAGCCUAGGUGUUCUUGUUAAAGAUCAUUAUCAGCUUUUAUCUGCUGAGCCUCAGGUCUGUGGAGGUUGGUGACUUGUCCAAGGUCACACUGAGAGGACACCAAGUCGCUAGCCUACCCUCUCCUCUAAGAAGGUGGCAGAGGGUGGCCCCUUUGGCAUGACAGUUAUCGCAACAAUCGGUGAUUAAACUGGUGUUGACUUGGCACCGGCCGUGUGCAGAGCUCAGGCUGGGUGCAGGAGGGAGGAGGGGCAGGAAAAUCCAGGCCCUGCCCCAUCUUCAAAGUGUGCUGCUGAAUGGAGACCAGACCGAGGCUCCACAAGCCAGCCUUGGGCUCAUGUGAGUCACAGGCCCUGGGUUCAGGUUUCAUCUAGCUCUGUAGAUGCGACCUUAAAUCAAGCAAGGCCCUCUCUGGGCUACUGGAAAAGCAGAGGCCAACCUUAGGGUCCUAGGUGCCCUCUAGGCUGGACUUUUUUUUUUUAUUUGGGGGUACCAGGAGUUAAAUUCAGGACAGUCACACUGACCUACAUCCCCAGCCCUUUUAUUUUUAAUUUUGAGACAAGGUCUCAUUAAGUCACCAAGUUGACCAAGCUGGGCUUCAGCUUUCUUCAGCUUCCCAGAGCACUGGGAUCGCAGGCAUGUGAGCCACACCUGGGUUGUCCCAGACUUCAUACAGUGUGAUGCUCUCGAGAAAGAGGUUGCAUACCAAAAGAUGCUUACAGCAGGCUGGGGCCAGAGAGGAUGUGCCACGGUGGGAGACCAGGAAGGAAGACGGUAGACAAGGAAUAGCUUGGCACUUGUGCUUUUUCCAAAACUUGCUCCCUGACAGUAAGGCUCCUAUAUCAGUUUGACAGAUGAAUGAACCCUCUCCUACGGGCCUUCUCAGAGCCUUGAAUCUGUCAGGUGUGCAGGAGGCAGCUGGAAAAAGCAACUUGUGACCCCAGAAUCCCUUUUCCAGGAAGCACCUUUAAGGUGCAGGCACCCAGGGCAGCUCCGUGCUGGCUGUUCACGCAGAGCUCACGAGGCCUUGUUGAGGCACCUCCUCCCUCCUGGCUGCCCCGGAUGGGAUGGAAGAGAUUGGAGCCCACAGAGAAGGGAGGUGCCCUGUUCCAUGUGCCAACAAGACACAGUGUUGCCUGGGGCUCAAGGGUCCUGAGGUCUGGGCCCUGCUUCACCUAGCCUUGGGCAAGUCACUAGACUUCUGGUGCCUCAGUUUCCCCUUUCUAGUGUAGUGCCUCCUCAGGGGCUUGGGUUAAAUCACUUAUGCAAGUGAAAUAUGGGUGCUUUCAAGUGCUUCAUCCGAGGCCCUAGGCUUCGUCACGCUGCACUUUACCAGUGCUUUUCCUAAGGUGCAGUUGGAGGGGUGCUCUGUGCCGCACAGGCUGUACCCGCUUACAGGUGAGCACAGCCCUGAUCUCUGGCCAUCUGUUCCAGAGCCUGCCUACCCUUGAGCUUUCUCUCCACAGGUUCACUCAGCCUGUCCUUCGGGCCCGGCUCCCACUCAGCAUUUGGUGGAGACCUCCGUCAGUGUCGCUGGGUCUAACUUUGUUCUCUUCGGCUGUCAUGGUUUGGACCCCACAUUUCCUCCUCCGCACCAGCCCGCAGUUACAUCACAUCGCUGUUCUCU